CGCCCGGCCCAGGCUGCGGGCGGAGCGGGCCCAGGCCCGGCCCGGCCCCGGCGCGUCCCGCGGGCCCGGCGCACCCCGGGCCUGCACAGUUGUUUGUGAAUGAAUUUGGCUGAAUAUGGAUCCAGGUGGUGGAAGUCUUGGAUUGCAAACACAGGAAUCCAAAAUGCCUCACACUAUGAUCAUGCAAGAUUUUGUGGCUGGGAUGGCUGGCACUGCUCACAUCGAUGGAGACCACAUAGUUGUGUCAGUCCCCGAAGCUGUCCUGGUUUCUGACGUGGUCACGGAUGAUGGGAUAACCCUUGACCAUGGCCUGGCAGCUGAGGUGGUCCAGGGGCCCGACAUCAUCACAGAGACAGACGUUGUCACCGAGGGCGUCAUCGUCCCCGACUCCGUGCUGGAGGCUGACGUGGCCAUCGAGGAGGCUUUGGACACCAGCGACCACGUUCUGGCUUCUGACCUGAUCACAGAAACCGUGCGCGUUCCCGACCAGGUGUUUGUGGCAGACCUGGUCACGGGCCCUGAGGGACACCUGGAGCACGUGGUGCAGGACUCGGUGGCCGGGGCCGACUCGCCCACCAUGGUCUCAGAAGAGGUGCUGGUGACCAACUCGGAUUCGGAGGCUGUCAUCCAGGCUGCUGGGACUGUCCCUGGCUCCACCGUCACCAUCAAAACCGAGGACGACGACGACGGCAAGAGCACUUCUGAAGACUACCUGAUGAUAUCUUUGGAUGAUGUUGGAGAGAAAUUGGACCAUAUAGGAAGCACUCCCUUGAAGAUCAGUACCGAGGUGGCAAAUGAUGAUGUUGCUAAAGAUGAUGGCUUUGGUUCAGAAGUUAUCAAAGUCUACAUAUUUAAAGCUGAAGCUGAAGAUGAUGUUGAAAUAGGUGGGACAGAAAUUGUCACUGAGAGUGACUUUCACAAUGGCCAUUCUGUAGCUGGAGUCAUUGAACAAGGAGGUGUUGGGAGAAUGCAGCGAGAAAAAAUGGUUUACAUGGCUGUUAAGGACUCUUCUCAGGAAGAUGAAGAUAUUAGCUGUGCUGAAAUAGCAGAUGAAGUUUAUAUGGAAGUUAUUGUAGGGGAAGAAGAAGCCACAUCCCUUCCAGACACCCAGCUUGAGGACUCUGGCGUGAAUAAAACGUUUGUCCCCGUUGCUUGGGCUGCUGCUUACGGAGAUGAAAGAAGGCUUCCCCGAAGAUACGAAGAUGGUCAAGCCGCAGGAAAUAACUUGGAUACACGAUUAGAAAACAAAAACGGUAAUGCAACACAGUACCUGCAGAUUUGUGAUAGCAUUAGCACUAAUAGAGUGCUCAAACAAAAAACCAAGAAAAGGAGGAGAGGAGAGGCCAGGCAAUGGCAAACAGCUGUUAUAAUAGGUCCUGAUGGACAGCCCUUAACAGUUUACCCUUGUCAUAUUUGUGGGAAAAAAUUUAAAUCCAGAGGAUUCUUGAAAAGGCAUAUGAAGAACCAUCCCGAUCAUAUGAUCAAGAAGAAAUACCAGUGUACAGACUGUGACUUUACAACUAACAAAAAAGUAAGUUUCCACAAUCAUCUGGAAAGCCAUAAACUUAUAAAUAAAGUUGAUAAAACGCACGAGUUUACAGAGUACACGAGAAGAUACAGAGAGGCGAGCCCGUUGAGUUCCAAUAAACUCAUCCUGAGGGACAAGGAGCCCAAGCUCCACAAGUGCAAAUAUUGUGACUAUGAGACUGCAGAGCAGGGGCUGCUCAACAGGCACCUGCUGGCAGUCCAUAGCAAGAACUUCCCUCAUGUGUGCGUGGAAUGUGGGAAGGGCUUCCGCCACCCCUCGGAGCUGAAAAAGCACAUGAGGACCCACACGGGGGAAAAGCCAUACCAGUGUCAGCACUGCGUGUUCAGGUGCGCUGACCAGUCCAACCUGAAAACUCACAUCAAAACCAAACACGGCACCGACCUGCCCUAUAAAUGUGAGCACUGUCCCCAGGCCUUCGCCGACGAGAAGGAGCUGCAGCAGCACACCGAGCUCUUCCAAGGACAUAAGACUCACCAGUGUCCCCACUGUGACCACAAGAGCACCAACUCCAGCGACCUGAAGCGACACAUUAUUUCAGUGCACACCAAGGAUUUUCCCCACAAGUGCGAGGUGUGUGAGAAAGGCUUCCACCGGCCCUCGGAGCUCAAAAAGCAUAGCGAGACCCAUAAAGGGAAAAAGAUCCACCAGUGUAGGCACUGUGACUUCAAAACCUCCGACCCUUUUGUGCUCAGUGGGCACAUCCUCUCCGUUCACACCAAGGACCUGCCUUUUAAGUGCAAAAGGUGUAAAAGGGGCUUCAGGCAGCAGAACGAACUGAAGAAGCACAUGAAGACCCACAGUGGCAGGAAGGUGUACCAGUGCCAGUACUGUGAGUACAGCACCACGGACGCGUCGGGCUUUAAGCGCCACGUCAUCUCCAUCCACACCAAAGACUACCCCCACAGGUGUGAGUUCUGCAAAAAGGGCUUCCGCAGGCCCUCCGAGAAAAAUCAGCACAUAAUGAGGCACCACAAAGAGGCCAUCCUGUGAUAGAGAACAAAACGCUUCUCACAUAUUUUGGGAAAAAACAGGUAAGUUUUUUGUCUUUUUACCUGUGUAAUAACAGCUUGCAGAAUGAAAUGCUAAAAACGCUGCUAUCCUAAAUUCCCUCUCUUUUUAGAAUACUUGAAUUGCACCAUCAGUAACAGAUUAAAAAGCUGAAGAAGAAGAUGUGCUAUUAAAUGAACCCUUCAUCGAGGAUUUCCAACGGGCUUUGAGCCACUGCACUCGUAGAUUUUGCACAAAGAGCAGAAAUUAAGCAGACAGGAAUUAAUUCAUCUGGGUUUUGUUGCUGCUUUUCCUUGCAUGCCCAGCAGUCAGAAGGGAAAAAAUCUUAGUGAUUUAAGGCUGUGGACUUCUGACAAUGUCAAUGCUUUGUUCCUGAAUGUUAUGCUGAAUACAUGGACUGAAGGAGUUUCUUCACCUGAAGAUGAUCCCUGACUCUGCCCAUGGCUGUGCUGGCUCAUUUUUCCACCCUACAGAUGGACCAAAUAAUCAGGCUUCAGCUGCCCACAAUUAAAGGCAAUAAAGAGAAAAGGAGGAAGAGCUGCAGCAGAACUCUGGAAGUAAAGGUGAGGUACUGGGUGUGGACUGGUGGCUGCUGGACUUGUCAGGGCCUUCCCAGACAGGGCUCUCUGGCUUUUAAUUUACAGCUGAGGCCGAGAAACUUCAAUACUGCAGAAAGGUCAGUCAAAACAAAGAAGACAGUUUUCUCCUUUUCAGUGCAAAACAAGACUGCAUUCUGGCAGAUAAAGACAGGACAGAAUGUAUAUUGUUGUAAUUAGAUAAAGUAAAUAGUGUCUGACUUCUUUCUAAUUUGUUCCUAGAAAAAAAUGUAGAAGUCUUGGUGAAGCUACUUGAAAUUGAGGUGGGAAAUGAGCUAAAGUAAAAUGUUUCUAAGCAGGAUUUACACAGCUGAGUAAAUGAGAAAAUGUUUUUCUGUAAACUUCAGCAGAAAGCACAUAUUAGGUAAAUCAGUUCCAGUUCCACAGCAAAGAGGGGACAGCUGAGCCCACAGUAACAGGAACUUCAUAGUGAAAAAACUAAAUUUGCUUUUUAAAAACAUAGGGUUUUGAAAACAAAACCAGCCUAUAAAUAAAUGGCCAUAUGCUUUAUCUAUUACUCUAACUCAGCUUUUUAACAAUUGCUUUGUGUUUUCUGAGUACAAAGUGCAGUUACAGCCUCUUCUCUGUAGCAUUUACAGGGUCUGGUGACCUGCAGAUUCUUUGAGGAGUUGUCCUUGUCCCCAGGACAGGGAGCUGGCUGGCCUGAGCAGCAACCUGGGCUUCUUGUAAGCAGGCUGCAGCUUUCCUGGCUGCCCCAGGAUGGUGUUUGCACUGGGAUGGAUCAGCUGGAUUUGAAAAGAGCAUUUGCCUGAUGGUGGCCUUUGCCAUGGAGUUGUCUCAGCACACCCAGCAGCUCCUGGUCUGAGCCCUGUCCCUCCUUAGGGAGUCCCCUGUGCUGUGCCAUGGAGUGGAGGAAACCCAGCUUGGUCUGAGCUGUGAGGAACCCCCAGGCCUGGUGGGAGCACAAGGAGCAGCUGCACCCAGACCCCUGCACAGAUUGCCUGAGGACUGGCUGAAGAACAGGAGCUAGUUAAGACCAGCUGAAGUCCACAGAGGGAUAGCAUCCCACUCCUCAGAGGGAAAAGUGAGUCCUUAAUGUUUUCCCAGUCUUCCUCACUAUCAGACUGAACCUUUUCUUGGAUGCAGAAGAGCAGAAAGUAAAGCAGUUUUAGUGGUUUGUGAACUCCUUGGAGCAGCUGUGAGGGCUCAGAGGAUUCUCUCAUUCCUAAAAGAAACAAGCAGCUUGUUAGAAGAAAUACACAAACUUGUUUCUGUUAUGAAACAGAACUAUCUCCCAUAAAGCAUCUCAUUUAAUUAUCUGUUUUCUCUUGUACAGUGUCCAAGGGCACCCAUAAGCCUUUCCUCUGUACCAAACACUUUACUUUUUCAUUUCCCUAUUGCUGUUUCAUUGCUUGACAUUUCACUAGGUUGCAAUGCACCUGGGUAAGGUUUAGGGAUCAGUAAUAGAACUCUGCUUUUUGCCAGUGCCCUGAGCCUUUUGCUUUUUUAAUCCUGCUGCAGGCAAGGUCCCUGUGAGGGACAUGCCAGGUGUGUUAACUGCAUCUGCUCAGGCUGUCACAGAACUGUCCCCUGGCUGUGUCCCUCCGUGGUUGUGUCCAGGUGCUGCUGUGACCUUGUGCCUGCAGCCACCACCACCCCUGCCUGGCCACCCUGCCAUUUCUCCAGCGUUUACCUUGUAGCCAGACUUGGCACCACGAGCCCUGCCUGUAACAGAAAUAGCUUCUGCAGCCCUGUUUUCUAUUUUUACUCUGAAUCACUCCUUAAAAUGUCACCACUCUUCUGCAUUCCUGGGUUGGCACUGCCCUGGCUCAGGGUGAGUUUCAGGGAUGUGGUGCUUUGUGUGUUUUACUAAUGGCUUGGAGUCACUGACACUCCUAAUGCAGAGGAGCACGGCCCUCCCAAAUCCCUGCUCACCCCAGAGCACAGCAGGACACAGUCCCUGCCUACCUGCCCAGUACAGCAACACCCCGGGGCCGGUGUUAGAGGAAGCUGAUGCUUUUGUUCAGGGUAAUUACGUGCCAGAGAAAACAACAAAAGGUUUUAUAUUUGUACCACACUCACCAAUUACUGCCUGCUCCAAGAGCCAGGACAGUUCCCUGGCUACAGUCAGUCACUUUGCUUUUUGCACUUAAAUUACCACAAGGGCAUCUCUGAGCUCUCAGUUUGGGUAAUACUUGCUUUGAGUUAAAUUAAACACUUAAGGGUUGUAGAGGGAUCAGUCCAUCUCCAGGUAAACUUACAUGUUUCCAGAUCUCUCCAGUCCUCUCAAUUACAAUCGUUUGUGAUUUAUUGACAGGUGAUGUGACCUUGUAGUCAUCAGACAGGAGACCCAGAAUAGGAUACUGAUUCCUGUACCUGUAGAGAGUUGAACGGGUUGCUUAACAGAGCCUAAACAAAGGAAAGCCCAAAGGAUGUGUUUUUAAAAGAGGUGAAUAACACAUUACUUUUUAGUGAUGAUGGCUGUCACCCCAGGGGACUGACUGCCCGAAAACUUGUCAUGCUUCAGUCUGAAGAGCUCCUGACAAAACCAAAAGCAAACACUGAUGUGAAGUCAUGUUUUCUGAAGUAUCAGUUCACUAAAGCCACAACAAAAUAUUUGCAGAAAUUUGUCUCAACAGUCUGAAAGUCUGCCCUUCCUGAAGGCUGGCAGAGAAACAGCAUUCAGGUAGAACAAAUCCUCACCCCCUUUCCUAAGCCAGGAGAGGACAAGGGCCUUCCUGGUAAGGUUCCACCUACACAGUACCACGGAGGCUUAAACACAAAAACCCUUAGAGGAAUAACUUGUCUUAUUUUACCUCUUGCUGUUGUUUAAUAAAAGCCUCUUUGUCCUCCAGCAGCGAUGUCAGUUCGUGCAGCCUCAUUUGCAAGUCGCUGUUGCUCCCCUCUCUCCUGGUUAUGUCCUGCUGGAACUGGCACAGCUGGGACUGUAGAACAAGGCAGGAGCUCUCAGGUGUGGAGGGCUCUGGGCAGGGCCUCUCAGCACCCACCCAGGGCUCUGGGGGUGGCAUUUCAUUAACAUCAUCAACAGCGAGACCCAGGGAUUUUCAGGUCAGAAGUUGAGCCACACAGUAAAUUCAGAAAGUGCUAAUUGGACUGAAUUCUACCUAUAUUAAUUUAAUCAUUUUACAAUUCUCAAGCUAAACCAACACUGAACCAGUUGAAUUGGCUUCCAGAGUUGGAGACUUUUACCACUGAUUUCCAUGGGAGACAUUUCCUAUAUACAGCUGUGACUGGCAGAUAUUUUUGUUUCCUGUUAAGCACAUUUUGACUAAUUUCUUCUGUUAUCAGGACACACAAAAUAUCCCUUUAGGACAGCCCACUAAUCAAGUUGAUCCCUAAUUUUUUCCUGUAAAGAACAGUUGGGUUUUUUUUUUUUAAAUCACCAUUUUAUGUUCUACUAGAAAGGUUUUAAGCCAUCAGCAGUGUCUAUGAGUAAAGUAACUGCACAGCCAGAAGACACCCAAAAAGUGCCUGUGGAAGAUCUCUGCUGCUCCAAGUGCAGGAGCAGCUGUCCCUGCACACAGCCAGCAGAGCCCCUUACCCUGAGGCUGCGGAUCUCCCUGUCCUUGUCCUCCCUCAGGUUGUUGAUCAUCUCCACGUAGCGGCUGGAGAGCUCGUCCGUCGUGGUCUGCAGCGUCGGGCUGGAGCAGCUCUGCACAAAGAACCCAAUUUUAUUUCACAAAGAGUUUUCAUCGUUAGUUUUCCUACACUGAUCCCUCUGAGUCUGGGACUCAGCUACUGCACCCAGCCAGGACAAUGCUGUGACAUUCCCAGCGGUGCCGAGCACUUGGGCUAGUGUGGGAAGCGUUGCUGCUUCCCCAACAGGAAUUCUCUGCUGCCUGCAUCCACAGCCACAAGGCUGGGAUGGCUGAAGGCCAGAGAACCUGCGGAGCUGCCAAAGCCACCCCUGUCCAUCCAGCCCAGAGAACCUGCAGAGCUGCCAAAGCCACCCCUGUCCAUGCAGCCCCGAGGCAGUGACAGAGCAGCCACUGCCACCAGCACAGCCACAGCCUGGAAUGCCAGCCCUGGGCUCCUGCUGCCAGCUGGGAGCAGCUGGAUGAGCUGGAUAAGGAGCUGGACUCACCCCCAGGUCAUCCUGCAGAUGGCAGAGCUCCUCCCGCAGGUUCUUGAAGGUGGAAAGCACAAGUCUCAGGGAUUUGUCCGAUGUCGCUCUCAUCUGGGAGGGGAGAAAUGAAAAGGAUAAUUGGGAUUAAUUAGGCAGCUUUGUUUACAAUAUGCCUAACAAGAGGUAGAACAGAAACUGCUUUAAGCUGACAGUAACUUCUAAAACCAUUGCACAUCCUUUGAAGUGCCCACAGUUUCUACAGGAAACAUUUUCCUUGCACUUUUUUCUGCAAAUGCCAGUGUUCAAUUUCUGCCUCGUAACACAGGACAACGUUGUUAAAAUGGAAGGAACAACAGGGCAAGGAACUGCCUUUGCACACCAAUAAAGGGAAAAAUAAAUGUGUUCAUAUUAUACAAUUAUUAUUUGAGCUUUAAAAGCUUUGUGCUUGCACUGAUUUUUAAAAUUACUGCCCUGCCUGAAAAGGCACAGAGGAAUGAGUCAUGUUUGAGAUCUGGCAAAGCUUUGGGCUCAAGGAUGAGGGAAUUUAAUUAACAUUUUUAAAAAUUUAAAUUAAAAAAGCUCACGCAGCCAACUCCUCCCUUUAAAAGGAAAAAGAUUCCUAAGAUGAAAGGAUUCACCUGGAUGAAAGAGAAAACCAUAAGUGACCACAGCCCAACACUGUUCCCCUUUGGAAUGUUAAUUUUAAUGCCUUUAAUAGCUGUGUAUUGAUUCAGGUGAAAAUAUAAAUUGUUGCAUUUCAUGAUACAUUUAUAAUAUUUAAAAGAAGAAAAACAGACUUUGAAAGGACACACAAAAUAACUCCUCAAGCUGUAAUGCUCCUGGAAGGGCUGAAUAUUCUGUGCAAAAGCUGUGGUUUUUUCCUGUCCAGACAAAAGUGAAACCCUCCUGUGUGUUCCCUUAACUUGGAGCUCUCCUGCUCUCUCUAUCCAUAUGGGGAUGGGCCCUUGCCCAGUUUUUUUUCUAUCCCCACUGGUGCCAUGGUGUGACUGAGACUUCAUUCCUAGUGCAACUCACGUUUCUGUUUGUUUUGUGAUUAAAGUGGAAUUUCACUUUU
This is an RNA transcript of Haemorhous mexicanus (house finch), 8276 nucleotides long. It is a transcript of the gene named zinc finger protein 711, with no coding region annotated. The transcript is spliced from 14 exons. NCBI's taxonomy places the organism in Eukaryota, Metazoa, Chordata, Aves, Passeriformes, Fringillidae. The record is from RefSeq and is a predicted model, not a curated record.